GGUUAAAUUAGUUCUACACCAAGCCUUUAGGUGGCAGUAAAACGAAUUGGCACAAUGCGAAUUCCACACACAAGCCACAAAGAAGCCAUCAGCCGCGGUCAACAGCACCUUCCUGAUUGAACAGAACCACGCGUUGUCUGUGUGGUUUACAAGUUUCUUGGCGAUAUGGGGGGAAAGUUCCUCACAUACCAACGGAAAAUGGGCUUCAUAUACAUGCUGCUGUCUCAUAAUAUGGCGAAGACGAGUCACCUGAAGGCCUAACUCGCCAUAGAAGACUGAAAGAAUUGUCCUGCAGGAUGCUGUGUCCAGCAAUCCUGUGUGCUGCAAUCCUGUGUGCUGUGCUACAGACGCGUGUGGAGGUCAACCCAAAAUGGGCACAGUCUCACCACAGAAGAGUGAAAGAGGAUCCUGGCAGGGAGACGGUAGUGUCCUGCAGAAUGGUGAUGGGCCAAUCUUACAAGAGACCACAGAAAACUGAUAUAGUGAACUAUAGAAACAACAGUGCCUGCUGCAGUAUAACGAGGACACCCUGAGCAGAGAGCUCCAAUAGACCCAGGUCCAGUGUCUUGGCAGGGUGAAAUGGCACUGAUAUGGUGUCCUGCAGGAUGCUGUGUCCUGCAAUCCUGUGUGCUGUGCUACAGACGCGUGUGGAGGUCAACCCAAAAUGGGCACAGUCUCACCACAGAAGAGUGAAAGAGGCUCCCAGAAGUGAGACUGAGUGCCUGUUGCAGUAUGACGAGGACACAGUGACCAGAGACCUUCAGUAGACCCUGCUGGCAUGAUUGGCGUCUGAAGAACAUGAAAUCAACAGCAAUGUUUAUAAUGUUGUACAUACCUGUAUAGUCUGUAUUAAAAGGCAGUACCUGUA
This is a long non-coding RNA of Engraulis encrasicolus (European anchovy), 868 nucleotides long. RefSeq lists it as uncharacterized. Lineage: Eukaryota; Metazoa; Chordata; Actinopteri; Clupeiformes; Engraulidae. The transcript has 7 exons. The record is from RefSeq and is a predicted model, not a curated record.